Epichloe festucae Fl1 is the source of this 92-nucleotide non-coding RNA. Lineage: Eukaryota; Fungi; Ascomycota; Sordariomycetes; Hypocreales; Clavicipitaceae. The record is from the annotation of a GenBank genome assembly.
GGCCGCGUGGCCUAAUGGCUAAGGCGCUAGAUUUCGGUGGUGAUGAAAGCUGAUCUCUCUAGAGAUUCCAGGUUCGACUCCUGGCGUGGUCG